Molecule: ribosomal RNA, 496 nt
Filed under: uncultured bacterium
Lineage: Bacteria
Description: partial 16S ribosomal RNA
Rfam family: Bacterial small subunit ribosomal RNA
Source: RNAcentral
GAUGAACGCUGGCGGCGUGCCUAAUACAUGCAAGUCGAGCGAACAGACGAGGAGCUUGCUCCUCUGACGUUAGCGGCGGACGGGUGAGUAACACGUGGAUAACCUACCUAUAAGACUUGGAUAACUUCGGGAAACCGUAGCUAAUACCGGAUAAUAUAUUUAACCGCAUGGUUCAAUAGUGAAAGACGGUUUUGCUGUCACUUAUAGAUGGAUCCGCGCCGCAUUAGCUAGUUGGUAAGGUACGGCUUACCAAGGCAACGAUGCGUAGCCGACCUGUGAGGGUGAUCGGCCACACUGGAACUGAGACACGGUACAGACUCCUACGGGAGGCAGAAGUAGGGAAUCUUCCGAAAUGGGCGAAAGACUGACGGAGCAACGCCGCGUGAGUGAUGAAGGUCUUCGGAUCGUAAAACUCUGUUAUUAGGGAAGAACAAAUGUGUAAGUAACUAUGCACGUCUUGACGGUACCUAAUCAAAAAGCCACGGCUAACUACGUG